UUUUUUCUUUGGCCUCCAGGGCCAUAGAAAAGAUUUAAAAAUUAAAUAGGAUUAUUAGAUCCAUCAUAUUAGAUAAAAAAUGUCAUUAUUUCCUUAUUUAUUCAGAUCCACUUCACUGGUGUUCCUGUUUUCAUCUUUAUAUUGUCUGCUUUGUUAAAGCUUGGAUAUUGGGUAAUUCACGAUAUAUGUGUGUAUGGUUGGAAGAACAGUACCAUUGGAGAGGAAAUGGUUCCAGUGGUGUUCAUCACAAAGGACAAUGACAACCAAACAGAGGAGGAAAACGGUAAAGACAGGGAAGCGAAAGAAAGCGGCGGUGAUGACGGUGUAGUCUUAAGCAUAGAAGAAGGUACAUGUGGAGGAGUGUGAGAAGGCUGCAGGAAGAGUUUGACCCACCACGUGUACAACGCCUGGUUCAAAUCAUGUGUUCAUGAUCCUGUUAGAGGAAGGUUCACCGCUGGCACCCACUGGUGCUGUGUUGGUAGAUGCCAACAACCCCACCGCCAUGUCUUUGGGAAUUGUGACACCGUGUUUUGAGUGUUUGUAAAAAAAAAACAACACUGGUUGACGUUCAUAAUGCACACUGUUUGUAAUCUCUUAUUGCAAAAGUAUAAUAACUUGCUAAUUUACUCACACUAUGUGUAAAUUGCUUUAGGUGUGGCCGUAUGGAUGGGAACGUCGGUCUGUUUGUUGCGAGAACAGGUACUCUGAAUUGUCAUAGUGCCAUCAAGUCAAUAUUGGAAUUUGUCCAAUACUUUGAUUUAUGA
Long non-coding RNA from Etheostoma spectabile (orangethroat darter), 764 nucleotides. RefSeq lists it as uncharacterized. The transcript has 2 exons. The record is from RefSeq and is a predicted model, not a curated record. Lineage: Eukaryota; Metazoa; Chordata; Actinopteri; Perciformes; Percidae.